This 206-nucleotide long non-coding RNA is filed under the name Elaeis guineensis (African oil palm). RNAcentral's name for it is "long non-coding RNA (EGUI_LNC056680)". The record is from RNAcentral. Lineage: Eukaryota; Viridiplantae; Streptophyta; Magnoliopsida; Arecales; Arecaceae.
GUCAAUAAAAUUAAAUUCUCUAAAUUAUUAGGUCUAUAAAAUGAUAGAGUUAUGAGAUAACUUGGUCAUAGUCUCCCAUUAAGGUGCGUGAUAAUGAGUCUAAUAUUUCAAAUAGGCAUUGGAGGUGCCACAUGCCUAGUAUCUAUUACGUAUUGGAAUUAUUAUUCAUCAUAUGACCAUCAUGAUGUACCUUUAGAUCAAUGCUC